RNAcentral lists this ribosomal RNA (253 nucleotides) under uncultured bacterium. Its description in RNAcentral is "partial 16S ribosomal RNA". It matches the Rfam family "Bacterial small subunit ribosomal RNA", at positions 524 to 776 of the family's 1533-position model. The record is from RNAcentral.
UACGUAGGGUGCAAGCGUUGUCCGGAAUUAUUGGGCGUAAAGAGCUCGUAGGUGGUUUGUCGCGUUGUCCGUGAAAACUCACAGCUCAACUGUGGGCGUGCGGGCGAUACGGGCAGACUGGAGUACUGUAGGGGAGACUGGAAUUCCUGGUGUAGCGGUGGAAUGCGCAGAUAUCAGGAGGAACACCGGUGGCGAAGGCGGGUCUCUGGGCAGUAACUGACGCUGAGGAGCGAAAGCGUGGGGAGCGAACAGG